Triticum aestivum (bread wheat) is the source of this 1440-nucleotide RNA transcript. RefSeq lists it as uncharacterized. The record is from RefSeq and is a predicted model, not a curated record. The transcript is spliced from 5 exons. Lineage: Eukaryota; Viridiplantae; Streptophyta; Magnoliopsida; Poales; Poaceae.
GUCUGCAUGCGCAGGAAUAGCUGGAGACGGCAUCAGGAGGCGACAGAAGAGGACCGCAAACAGAGGAAGCCAGAACCGCCGACAGAGGAUGAGGCUAGAGAUAUCUAACACACGGACAUCAACAAACGAAGGGGCAGACGAACAAGGUAAUACUGAUAACGAAUUAGACAGGAAUGAAGGUGGAUCUCUAAAUGCUUGCGGAAAUGCUGGCAAUAUUGUAAUGGCAGAAGAAAGAAAUGAUGAGUGUCAUCAAGGUUGGUUAAGCUAAAAGUUGGACUUAUGAAGAUCAAAGCUCUUGAACAGUGGCGUAACAAUCUAGAUUGCAUGUAUUUGUAGAGACAGAACAAACUGAAGCAGUGGCAGUUGGAAGAGUUCUUCAUGACAGCACAGGAUAUGUCUUCCACAGGAGCACAAGGCAGUCGGGCUAAGUUCGGCAGCAGGGGGUAAUCCUGGAGGUGGUGGUAGGCAAGAGCACCAUGAAGGAUCCGAACUAAAUGAAGCAGUUGCAACUGGAAGAGGUGUUCUCCGUAUCAACACGGGAUUUGCCUUCCCAGGGAUAACAAGUAAGUUAAAACAUCAAUUAUUGGGGAUAACCUAUGUCUGUACUAACAUGUUGCAUUCACUACUUGUGAUUGUUCCAAACAGUCAGGGAAGUCGGUGAAGGUUCAGGAGUAGGUGCUAAUUGUGGAGAUGUUGGGCAUGAGAUGAACACACUGUCUCGAGACGCUGGUCAUGAAGGACUAGAGCAAGUGCCCGUAGGCAUAGGUGUUCUUCGUAGAAGCACGGGAUAUGCAUUCCCAAGGAUUACUGGUGAGACGAUGCAAACUCCUAAGGAUGAGUAAAAAAUGGGUCAUCGAUGACAUUACAUGUCUCCAUCAUUUGUUGAAUUUGCACAUGCAGUCAGGGCUGUAGGAGAAAACUCGGCAGCAGUGAAUACUACUGGAACUGAUCCACAUGGUACAGACUUAGAGCCAGCAAUCAAUCCAAGUUAGUUCACAGUUGGUUAGAAUACAUACAUACAUGUGUUAGUCUCAGAUGGGUGGUGCAGAUGAUGUUGUUCUACAGAGGGGUGUAGGAGUGGUUUCAGGCCGAAUGAAUAGAAACCUGAGGCUGCGUGUUGGCAUGGUGAGAAUCAUAGUGAAGAUGGAAAUGACUGAUAAGGGAGACAUAUUCCCCAGAAAAGCUGGUCUGAAGCAUGAAGAGCCCCUUGCAAAGAAUGUUGUAGAAUUCUGGGACAAAAUGUGCACGAGAAGCUCCAGGAAUCGCAGCAGGAAAUGGUACAAACACCGCGAGCCGUACCUGAUAGUGAUGUCAGGUGAGGACUUUGUUAACGAAUUUGGUCCUGGUGGUCAUGUAACAACAAUCGGUUGAACGGCUGUGUCAAGAAUGCUUGUGUACAAGGAUGAUAUGAUGUACGGUGAUUGGGAGAUCAGGUGGCGA